GCGGCCGUAUGGGAGAAGAUCAGUCAAUUGAAAGGGAGCUCGUCUUGGCUUACAAUUCAGGCCGACUAUGAUCGGGACUGGUCGAAGAAAUUCUCUGACCUCCAGAAGCAGCUACAGGAUGCCAAGGUAAAUUACAAUGCCUACCAAGUCAGCUGGUGUGGGCAAGUAGACGACUACAGAAGGAGGCUCAAGAUGGCGACCGACG
Molecule: long non-coding RNA, 205 nt
Filed under: Elaeis guineensis (African oil palm)
Lineage: Eukaryota; Viridiplantae; Streptophyta; Magnoliopsida; Arecales; Arecaceae
Description: long non-coding RNA (EGUI_LNC079597)
Source: RNAcentral